This 387-nucleotide ribosomal RNA is filed under the name Triticum aestivum (bread wheat). RNAcentral describes it as "partial small subunit ribosomal RNA". Lineage: Eukaryota; Viridiplantae; Streptophyta; Magnoliopsida; Poales; Poaceae. The record is from RNAcentral.
AUGGCUGCCCGAGGCCGUCAGAUCCGUCACCGUCGUCGUUCUUUUGGUCGAGGUAGUCGUCGUCCAUGUGCUCCUCUUCACCACCACGGCUGGACGCUGGUGAGGCUAGCCUCCCCCUCCAAGCGCAGGAAAGUGCUGUUCAUACAUCGCCAAUUAUGGAUAUGGAUCCAUCUUGCUGCACUGGACGAAGGGUUGGAUGGAAUAAGAAUUUCUUCCUCUAGAGAUCGGGCUGGGCUUGACUGGGUUCUUGGAGUCCUCUUCUCGUUUCUUAGGAUCCUCUUGUUGUUUGACAAGGGGUUCCUUGCAAUGGGAAAUGUAAGAACCAUCCUCCUGGUUUACUGUUACGUCUUGAGCUUGCGUUGGUUUUCCCCGAAGAGGAAGGGGUGA